Molecule: long non-coding RNA, 1902 nt
Organism: Vicugna pacos (alpaca)
Lineage: Eukaryota; Metazoa; Chordata; Mammalia; Artiodactyla; Camelidae
Source: RefSeq, a predicted model, not a curated record
GAUUCAGGGGCCAAAAUCAAGUCUGAGGACCGGAUGGAAGGAGGACUCAGACACAAGCCACGACCCCGCCCCCUUUCUGACCUGACCCUCCCCUACCCGGGUCUCCGCGCGGGGGUCUGCCUGGCUUGCAGCUCCUUCGACACCGCCCCCAUCACGCAGGAUUCUGCCCUGUCCUACUUACUGCCCCUGCCUACUUUCUCCCUGGAGAGGGAACCAGAGACUGAUUGGGACCCCCUUGCUCACUCCUUCCUAAGCCCACUAACCCUCUGGAGCCCUUGCUCCCCACCCCCUCCAGUGUGAGGGUCUCAGAAGCCUCUGCUCGUCCCUCUCGCAGAGCCAAUAGAGGCUCCCAGGAUCCUUUCUGCUUUGCCCCUAAUGUAGAUUUCCCGGGCUUCACUGACCUGCUCCCUCAGAGUGUGGGUCUCGAGACUUGUUCACCGCUCUUGACAACCCCCACCCCACUUCAGCGAGCUCUCAGAAUUCUGUUUUCCCCCACCCGUGUGGACUUCCAGAGUCCUCUGUGCACUCGCCAGCGCGAGCCCUGGAAGAAAGGCACUUCUGAGGGAAUGAAGCGGAGGGCAGCCAUGGCUCAAGAUGGGAGGGGCCUCGGCUUCUGGCCCCUCCUCGGGGCUCAGGCUGGGCCCGGACCUCUCCUCUCAACCCCUCCUCUCAACUGAGGGGGCCGCUGUGGCGGGUGAUGUGGAUGGAUGGAUACCUGUGCGAGGUGGACCCUCCCAGCUGUUGAAGUCAGGGCCUGGGGCCCAGAUGGCGCAAGUCCGGGAAAGAAGCCGUCCUCCCAGACAGCUGCCUUGACGGGGCCAGGGUGCCACAUGCCAUACGGAGCGCCAGCUUGAGCAAGAAGGCACCAGAGAGUCCUGGCAACCCUAGUGAAACCUCAACUCAGCCACCAUUUACAUCCUGGCAAGACUCAGUGAAAGAGUGGCUCGCCGAGGAAAUGGGUGGAAGGAUUGGAGCAGAAACCAGCCAGAGGAAGGAGAUUUGAGAGGUUUGAGGAAAAGAGUUGUGGAGGAAGGGAGCCUGGACUGGUCCUUGUGAAGGUGACUAUUUGCAGCUGAAGUUUGGAGAGUUGCUUGCAAGAAAUCACAAGCAGAGUCAAGCAGGCUUCCUGAGGAGGCUGGAGAGGCCCUGGCACUGCUGCUUUGGGACCCAGGUGAUGUUUCUUGACACAGAGCUCGGGAGAAGGACACUCUGUUCAUCUCUGCACAGAACCACUGCCCCCGUCUAGAACACUGGGGGCAUCAGAGGAGGCAGCAUUCAUGGAUGCUGAGGACCCCACAAGGACCAUCUGCAGUAGAGGCUCCUUUCCCAGGCCUCCACGAGCCCUGCCUGGUGACUGCUGUGGAUAGAUGGCAGAAGCCUCUGUGCUGCCUAAGGCUGUUAUGGUUUCUCCCCGCCGCUGAACUACUAUGGCCAGUGUCUGUCAUAGUUACCUUGGCUACACGACCCUUGUCUGUAUCUCCAGAGAGAGAGCCAUGUUUGGAAGAAAGAACAUGAGGCCCCAUGCCUGAAAGGAGUCCCAAGAAGAAGGAAAUGUAAAAUAGUGAACAAUGUGGGAUUUUGACUUGGUCAGACUUCAGUUCCAAUCCUUGUUAUGUCAUACACUAUCUACCAGAACUUUACAGCUUCUCCGAGUUUCAGUUUGCAUAGUUCAAAAUGGAACCGAUAAUAUCUAUCCUGCUGGAUUCUUGUAAAAAAUCAUUAAAACUUCUGUAAAGCAUAAAAAGCUUAGGUAUUGAAUAAAUGGCAAGUAUUAAUAUCUGUAAAAUGGAGGUGCCUUCAUAAUACCCACUUUGCAAUGUGGUUAUGAAAAGUAGGGGGAAAAUGCCUUUGGCCUAUAGCAGAUGUUUAAUAAAUGGUAGUUGUUAGUCUCACUUGCCAUGA